This 100-nucleotide small nucleolar RNA is filed under the name Paxillus rubicundulus Ve08.2h10. Its description in RNAcentral is "Small nucleolar RNA Z13/snr52". It matches the Rfam family "Small nucleolar RNA Z13/snr52". Rfam says of the family: Z13 or snr52 is a member of the C/D class of snoRNA which contain the C (UGAUGA) and D (CUGA) box motifs. Lineage: Eukaryota; Fungi; Basidiomycota; Agaricomycetes; Boletales; Paxillaceae. The record is from Rfam by way of RNAcentral.
CUACAAAGAAAGAUGAACAAUUACGGAUGUAAAUGAGCUGUAGCUCAGUCCGAGAGCGCAUAAUUCGUGUGGAUUGCUCCGUUGCCUUCCUGCUGACGUU